UGCAGUCGAACGAUGAAGCCCUUCGGGGUGGAUUAGUGGCGAACGGGUGAGUAACACGUGGGCAAUCUGCCCUGCACUCUGGGACAAGCCCUGGAAACGGGGUCUAAUACCGGAUAUGACCAUCUUGGGCAUCCUUGAUGGUGUAAAGCUCCGGCGGUGCAGGAUGAGCCCGCGGCCUAUCAGCUUGUUGGUGAGGUAAUGGCUCACCAAGGCGACGACGGGUAGCCGGCCUGAGAGGGCGACCGGCCACACUGGGACUGAGACACGGCCCAGACUCCUACGGGAGGCAGCAGUGGGGAAUAUUGCACAAUGGGCGAAAGCCUGAUGCAGCGACGCCGCGUGAGGGAUGACGGCCUUCGGGUUGUAAACCUCUUUCAGCAGGGAAGAAGCGAAAGUGACGGUACCUGCAGAAGAAGCGCCGGCUAACUACGUGCCAGCAGCCGCGGUAAUACGUAGGGCGCAAGCGUUGUCCGGAAUUAUUGGGCGUAAAGAGCUCGUAGGCGGCUUGUCACGUCGAUUGUGAAAGCUCGGGGCUUAACCCCGAGUCUGCAGUCGAUACGGGCUAGCUAGAGUGUGGUAGGGGAGAUCGGAAUUCCUGGUGUAGCGGUGAAAUGCGCAGAUAUCAGGAGGAACACCGGUGGCGAAGGCGGAUCUCUGGGCCAUUACUGACGCUGAGGAGCGAAAGCGUGGGGAGCGAACAGGAUUAGAUACCCUGGUAGUCCACGCCGUAAACGGUGGGAACUAGGUGUUGGCGACAUUCCACGUCGUCGGUGCCGCAGCUAACGCAUUAAGUUCCCCGCCUGGGGAGUACGGCCGCAAGGCUAAAACUCAAAGGAAUUGACGGGGGGCCCGCACAAGCGGCGGAGCAUGUGGCUUAUUUCGACGCAACGCGAAGAACCUUACCAAGGCUUGACAUACACCGGAAAGCAUUAGAGAUAGUGCCCCCCUUGUGGUCGGUGUACAGGUGG
This 968-nucleotide ribosomal RNA is filed under the name Streptomyces murinus. Its description in RNAcentral is "bacterial SSU rRNA". It matches the Rfam family "Bacterial small subunit ribosomal RNA", at positions 56 to 1041 of the family's 1533-position model. Lineage: Bacteria; Bacillati; Actinomycetota; Actinomycetes; Kitasatosporales; Streptomycetaceae. The record is from RNAcentral.